UUAAUUGUCGUCGAUCACUCUACC
Molecule: non-coding RNA, 24 nt
Filed under: Arabidopsis thaliana (thale cress)
Lineage: Eukaryota; Viridiplantae; Streptophyta; Magnoliopsida; Brassicales; Brassicaceae
Source: RNAcentral